GGAAGCCAGUCAUCUCAGAUGCAACUGCCACUUCUUGCUUCUCUUCUCAGGAUAACUAACUUCUUCAGGAUCCUACCUACAUUUGGUUAUCAUGUCUCCUUAGGAUCUUCUUGGCUGUGAUAGUUUCUCAACUUGCCUCAUUUUUGAUGACCUUGACAGUGUUGAGGAAUACUUGUCAGGGGACGACCAGUGCACAAGAAGGGUAAACCAUCCUGCUCAGAGUCUCAACAACUCAAACUUCUGACUGCAAAUUCUCUUCCUUCCACUCUUCUGUGGUUGCCUUCACCUUCUACACCACAGGGAAAGAAAAAUCAGAUCCAAAGUCAAAGAGCUGGCUCUCUGUGAAAGCAACUCCAUUAAUUUUAGUCAUUUCUGCCUUCUUUACCCCAGCUAUUAUCCCACAUAGACAUCUGUGAAAUAUCACUUGGGAAUCAAAGACAUUUCCCUUGUAGUGUAACUUCAAGAUUAAAUGGCCAUUUCGAACGUU
Molecule: long non-coding RNA, 487 nt
Organism: Leptonychotes weddellii (Weddell seal)
Lineage: Eukaryota; Metazoa; Chordata; Mammalia; Carnivora; Phocidae
Source: RefSeq, a predicted model, not a curated record